This 262-nucleotide unclassified non-coding RNA is filed under the name uncultured Hypocreales. Its description in RNAcentral is "sequence contains 5.8S rRNA gene, ITS2, 28S rRNA gene". The stretch from base 1 to 52 matches the Rfam family "5.8S ribosomal RNA", at positions 103 to 154 of the family's 154-position model. The record is from RNAcentral. Lineage: Eukaryota; Fungi; Ascomycota; Sordariomycetes; Hypocreales.
AACGCACAUUGCGCUCGCCAGUAUUCUGGCGAGCAUGCCUGUUCGAGCGUCAUUUCAACCCUCAGGCCCCGUUCGCGGGAUCUGGUGUUGGGGAUCGGCCGUCCUUCGCGGCGGCCGGCCCUGAAAUGGAGUGGCGGUCUCGUCGCGACCUCCUCUGUGUAGUAGUUAUACCUCGCAGCUGGAUAGCGGCGCGGCCACGCCGUAAAACCCCCUACUUCUCAAGGUUGACCUCGGAUCAGGUAGGAAUACCCGCUGAACUUAA